Long non-coding RNA from Oncorhynchus keta (chum salmon), 886 nucleotides. RefSeq lists it as uncharacterized. The record is from RefSeq and is a predicted model, not a curated record. Lineage: Eukaryota; Metazoa; Chordata; Actinopteri; Salmoniformes; Salmonidae. The transcript has 5 exons.
UUUUUUUUUUUUUUUUUUUUUUCUUUUUUCCGGGACUUAAAAACGGUGACCCCGGACAUGCCGAAUUUGCGCCAUUCUGGAAAGGACCCCGAAAAUAAUUUUUAACCAUUUUCACAAAAAAGUUUUUUUUUUUUUUUUUUUUCGGGACUUAAAAACGGUGACCCCGGACAUGCCGAAUUUGCGCCAUUCUGGAAAGGACCCCGAAAAUAUUUUUUAACCAUUUUCACAAAAAGUGAUUUUUUUUUUUUUUUUCGGGACUUAAAAACGGUGACCCCGGACAUGCCGAAUUUGCGCCAUUCUGGAAAGGACCCCGAAAAUAAUUUUUAACCAUUUUCACAAAAAAUUUUUUUUUUUUUUUUUUUCGGGACUUAAAAACGGUGACCCCGGACAUGCCGAAUUUGCGACAUUCUGGAAAGGACCCCGAAAAUAAUUUUUAACCAUUUUCACAAAAAAUUUUUUUUUUUUUUUUUUUUUUUUUUCGGGACUUAAAAACGGUGACCCCGGACAUGCCGAAUUUGCGACAUUCUGGAAAGGACCCCGAAAAUAAUUUUUAACCAUUUUCAAAAAAAAAAUUUUUUUUUUUUUUUUUUUUUUCGGGACUUAAAAACGGUGACCCCGGACAUGCCGAAUUUGCGACAUUCUGGAAAGGACCCCGAAAAUAUUUUUAACCAUUUUCAAAAAAAGUUUUUUUUUUUUUUUUUUUUUUUGGGACUUAAAAACGGUGACCCUGGACAUGCCGAAUUUGCGCCAUUCUGGAAAGGACCCCGAAAAUAAUUUUUAACCAUUUUCAAAAAAAAGUUUUUUUUUUGUUUUUUUUUUCGGGACUUAAAAACGGUGACCCCGGACAUGCCGAAUUUGCGACAUUCUGGAAAGGACCCCGAAAAAA